Long non-coding RNA from Cyprinus carpio (common carp), 1284 nucleotides. The record is from Ensembl. NCBI's taxonomy places the organism in Eukaryota, Metazoa, Chordata, Actinopteri, Cypriniformes, Cyprinidae.
AUGCCUUGGAUUUAUAGUCAGGGGGUGUGGCUGGGGUCCACUCUCCCUUCAACCACUGUAAAUGUGAAAUCCAGUGAGCAAGUGGGAGGAAUGAGAGAAUAUGGGGACUCUUUCUCUUUCUCCCUCUGUCUCUUUCACUCCACAGUUCGAAGGAUCCUUAGGACAUAUGCUUGUCAUUAUCCAUUGAGGAAAAGCUCUGAGUGAGUGUAAGGGAAAUCCACAAGGCAUAUAUCAGUCAUAGACUGGCGGAACAUUUGCCCUCACACAUCCUUUUUCAAAAUGUACAUUCUCAAUAGCAUCCAAAAACAAAUAAUUGCGGUCACGCCGCCAUCUGAAAUGAAUUGCCAGAUUGCCCUCUUAAUACUGCCUCAUUUCAGAUGAAUUUGUGUUGCUGAGUUAUGCCUGAAACCGGCCUGAGACAGAAAGGGGAUAUCAGCACUUCAUCAGCAUCACAAAAAAAAACUUUCUGUAAAAGAGUUUCAUCAGAUCUGGAUACAUCAUCAUGGGAUGAUUAUGGAUGGACUGGAUUUUUUACUAGUAAUUUGUAAUGAUGCAGUGUGGGAUGAAGCUGACCAUUACAAUUUUAAGGCGUUGUGUGGGCAGAGACUUUAUGAUAUGAAUGAGAGAAAUCAUAACACUCAUUGUGGUGCCUGUAGGUUGUAGUUACAAGAUUAAUUUUUUCAUGUUGUUUACUCAUUGGCUGCACCAGCCAGAAAAAAAUAGAUAUUGUUGGUGUGUAAUUUGAUGUAAAGAAGUACAAUUUAUGAUAAUAUUGUUGUCAGAUUUUUUUUCUUUCCCCAUUCAAGUAAAUGGGAGCUGUACUUGAAUUAAUGGAAAUAGCUGCCUGGAGAUGCCCAAGAUGGCUGCAGAGUGGACUGACUGACUGAAACGGGACUUUGGUCUGGGUUUCUGGGGUGUUUUUAAAGAGGUGAGUGACACAGAACAUAUAUAAAAAAAAUGCUUCCCACAUCCUCACUUAUCUCACGUUAUCUGGAUACCUCAUUCAUCAUUUAGAUUAUCCAUGAUUAUUUUGAAAGUUUUCAUUUCAAAACUAUUUCUUUUAGUGAGAUGUAACUUGCUUAAUCAGAUGUGCAGUUUUUCCUGAAGAUGGGUUGGAAUGGUGCCUUGUUGAUUUAACCUUUGCCCUGAAAUGGUCUUCCAAGAGUAUCAUGAAUAAGUUCAGCUGAAAUGUCCUCACGGCAGCCUGCAGAGAUUACAAAUCACACAAAUGUGUUUGUAAUGGCUGUAAAAUAGAAAAUAAAUGCAGGGAAAGUGCAGCUUACA